This 462-nucleotide ribosomal RNA is filed under the name uncultured organism. RNAcentral describes it as "bacterial SSU rRNA". It matches the Rfam family "Bacterial small subunit ribosomal RNA", at positions 28 to 507 of the family's 1533-position model. The record is from RNAcentral.
GAUGAACGCUGGCGGCGUGCUUAACACAUGCAAGUCGAACGAUUAACCCACCUUCGGGUGGUUAUAGAGUGGCGAACGGGUGAGUAACACGUGACCAACCUACCCCUUACAUUGGGAUAACUCAGAGAAAUCUGUGCUAAUACCAAAUACUCCGGAUAAAUCGCAUGGUUUUUCCGGGAAAGCUUUUGCGGUAAGGGAUGGGGUCGCGGCCUAUUAGGUAGUUGGUGGGGUAACGGCCUACCAAGCCUGCGAUAGGUAGCCGGGUUGAGAGACUGAUCGGCCACAUUGGGACUGAGAUACGGCCCAGACUCCUACGGGAGGCAGCAGUGGGGAAUUUUGCGCAAUGGGGGAAACCCUGACGCAGCAACGCCGCGUGCGGGAUGACGGCCUUCGGGUUGUAAACCGCUUUCAGUGGGAAAGAUUAUGACGGUACCCACAGAAGAAGCUCCGGCUAACUACGUG